Molecule: ribosomal RNA, 586 nt
Filed under: Encephalitozoon cuniculi
Lineage: Eukaryota; Fungi; Microsporidia; Unikaryonidae
Description: eukaryotic LSU rRNA
Rfam family: Microsporidia small subunit ribosomal RNA (bases 1-379)
Source: RNAcentral
UUUUAAAUGGAUGGCGUGAGCUUUGUCUUAAGUUGCGUAAGAUGUGAGACCCUUUGACGGUGUUCUACGGAGCAAGGAGGGGAUGGAAGAGAACAGGUCCGUUAUGCCCUGAGAUGAGGCGGGCUGCACGCGCACUACGAUAGAUGGCGCUUCUGCCUGCUGUGAGGGAUGAAGCUGUGUAAGGGGCUUCUGAACGUGGAAUUCCUAGUAAUAGCGGCUGACGAAGCUGCUUUGAAUGUGUCCCUGUCCUUUGUACACACCGCCCGUCGCUAUCUAAGAUGACGCACUGGACGAAGAUCGGAAGGUCUGAGUCCUGAGUGUUAGAUAAGAUAUAAGUCGUAACAUGGCUGCUGUUGGAGAACCAGCAGCAGGAUCAGUAUGUUGUUGUGUUUUGAUGGAUGUUUGUUUGUUUGUUUGUGGUUUCUCUGUUCACGGGAUUGAUUGGCAUUAGCGGCGAUGAAGGACGUGCAGGAGGACGAUAUGCGUUGUUGUUGUGACGGUGUCUGAAUUGUGUGCGGUGUGCACGGGGACCCCUUGGACUUAAGCAUAUCAGUAAAGGGAGGAGAAGAAACCAAAUGGGAUUGCA